This 1213-nucleotide small RNA is filed under the name Pongo abelii (Sumatran orangutan). RNAcentral's name for it is "retained intron". The record is from RNAcentral. Lineage: Eukaryota; Metazoa; Chordata; Mammalia; Primates; Hominidae.
AUUCCGGACGCCGGGACCGGCCAUUACUGGUGCCGGGUCGGGCUUCUCCAGAUGCCGGGGCUGGGUCCCUCCAGACGUUGAGACGAAAGGAUGCCACGGAGAAAGAAAAAAGUUAAAGAAGUCUCCGAAUCUCGGAACCUGGAGAAGGAGGAUGUGGAAACUACCAAUUCUGUCACUGUGAAGAGGAAGCGUAGACUUGAGGAUGCAUUCAUUGUGAUAUCCGAUAGUGAUGGAGAGGAACCAAAGGAGGAAAAUGGAUUGCAGAAAAUGAAGACAAAACAGUCGAAUAGAGCAAAGUGUUUGGCCAAAAGAAAAAUUGCACAGAUGACAGAAGAAGAACAGUUUGCUCUGGCUCUCAAAAUGAGUGAGCAGGAAGCUAGGGAGGUGAACAGCCAGGAGGAGGAAGAAGAGGAGCUCUUGAGGAAAGCCAUUGCUGAAAGCCUGAAUGUAAAUAUGCCAUGUUGCCAAAGUUUGUGGAGAUUGAUCAGCAAUAUUUUCGACUUCUGUGGUGUUGUAGUUGCAUUAGGAACUAGCUGUAGUCAUUUAUAGGGUUUUCACCUAACAAAAAUUCCCAUAGUAAUUUUUUAAAGUCUGUGUUGAAUUGUUGGUUAACCCAAUUUGAAGUAUUUUGUUAAUUCUGUAUGAAAGAGUUUUCUUCCACCCCAUGGAUUUUUCAGUUCAUGGUUGAAAGAAUUAUCAUAAGUUGACAGCUUCUGAAAAGACUUACUGAAUACCAAGAACCCAAAAGGCAGCAAGAUAAGAUGCUAACUUCUCUAGUUUUGUGGGAGAGCAAAGGGAAUGAGAACUAGAGGUGGGUUAUGGGAAGAAAGAAAAAUUGUCAUUUGAAUAUGCACAACUGAAUUUUUUUUCUUUUUUUUUUUUGAGAUGGAGUCUCACUCUGUUGCCCAGGCUGGAGUGCAGUGGCACAAUCUUGGCUCACUGCAAACUCCCCCUCCUGGGUUGAAGCAAUUCUCCUGCCUUAGCCUCCCAAGUAGCUGGGAUUAUAAGCGCCCACCACCCCACCCAGCUAAUUUUUUGUAUUUUCAGUAGAGACGGGGUUUCACCAUGUUGGCCAGGCUGGUCUGGAACUCCUGACCUCAGGUGAUCCGCCUGCCUCGGCCUCCCAAAGUGCUGGGAUUACAAGCAUUAGCCACCUCGCCCAGCCUGAAAUGAUUUUAAAUGUGAAGGAUACUUGCCAGUGGCAGGUCCUGAA